GAUGAACGCUGGCGGCGUGCCUAAUACAUGCAAGUCGAGCGAACAGACGAUGAUCUUGCUCCUCUGACGUUAGCGGCGCACGGGUGAGUAACACGUGGAUAACCUACCUAUAAGACUGGGAUCACUUCGGGAAACCGGCGCUAAUCCCGGAUAAUAUAUUGAUCCGCAUGGUUCAUUGGUAAAAUACGGUUUUGCUGUCUCUUAUAGAUGCAUCCCCGCCGCAUUAGCUAGUUGUUAAGGUCACGGCUUACCAAGGCAACGAUGCGUAGCCGACCUGAGAGGGUGAUCGGCCACACUGGAACGGAGACGCGGUCAAGACUCCUAAGGGAGGCAGCAGUAGGGAAUCGUCGGCAAUGGGCGAAAGCCUGACGGAGCAACGGCGCGUGAGAGAUGAAGGUCUUCGGAUCGUAAAACUCUGUUAUUAGGGAAGAACAAAUGUGUAAGUAACUAUGCACGUCUUGACGGUAACUAAUCAGAAAGCCACGGCUAACUACGUG
Molecule: ribosomal RNA, 497 nt
Filed under: uncultured bacterium
Lineage: Bacteria
Description: partial 16S ribosomal RNA
Rfam family: Bacterial small subunit ribosomal RNA
Source: RNAcentral